This 711-nucleotide ribosomal RNA is filed under the name Marinobacterium sp. NJDN1. RNAcentral describes it as "bacterial SSU rRNA". It matches the Rfam family "Bacterial small subunit ribosomal RNA", at positions 380 to 1083 of the family's 1533-position model. Lineage: Bacteria; Pseudomonadati; Pseudomonadota; Gammaproteobacteria; Oceanospirillales; Oceanospirillaceae. The record is from RNAcentral.
ACCCUGAUCCAGCCAUGCCGCGUGUGUGAAGAAGGCCUUCGGGUUGUAAAGCACUUUCAGCAGUGAGGAAAGGCGUAAGGUUAAUACCCUUGUGCUGUGACGUUAACUGCAGAAGAAGGACCGGCUAACUCCGUGCCAGCAGCCGCGGUAAUACGGAGGGUCCGAGCGUUAAUCGGAAUUACUGGGCGUAAAGCGCGCGUAGGUGGUUCAGUCAGUCAGAUGUGAAAGCCCCGGGCUCAACCUGGGAAUUGCACCUGAUACUGCUGAGCUAGAGUACGGUAGAGGGUAGUGGAAUUUCCGGUGUAGCGGUGAAAUGCGUAGAGAUCGGAAGGAACACCAGUGGCGAAGGCGACUACCUGGACCGAUACUGACACUGAGGUGCGAAAGCGUGGGUAGCAAACAGGAUUAGAUACCCUGGUAGUCCACGCCGUAAACGAUGUCAACUAGCCGUUGGGGGACUUGAUCCUUUAGUGGCGAAGCUAACGCGAUAAGUUGACCGCCUGGGGAGUACGGCCGCAAGGUUAAAACUCAAAUGAAUUGACGGGGGCCCGCACAAGCGGUGGAGCAUGUGGUUUAAUUCGAAGCAACGCGAAGAACCUUACCUACUCUUGACAUCCAGAGAACUUUCCAGAGAUGGAUUGGUGCCUUCGGGAACUCUGAGACAGGUGCUGCAUGGCUGUCGUCAGCUCGUGUUGUGAAAUGUUGGGUUAA